AGAGUUUGAUCCUGGCUCAGGACGAACGCUGGCGGCGUGCCUAAUACAUGCAAGUAGAACGCUGAAGGAGGAGCUUGCUUCUCUGGAUGAGUUGCGAACGGGUGAGUAACGCGUAGGUAACCUGCCUGGUAGCGGGGGAUAACUAUUGGAAACGAUAGCUAAUACCGCAUAAGAGUAGAUGUUGCAUGACAUUUGCUUAAAAGGUGCACUUGCAUCACUACCAGAUGGACCUGCGUUGUAUUAGCUAGUUGGUGGGGUAACGGCUCACCAAGGCGACGAUACAUAGCCGACCUGAGAGGGUGAUCGGCCACACUGGGACUGAGACACGGCCCAGACUCCUACGGGAGGCAGCAGUAGGGAAUCUUCGGCAAUGGACGGAAGUCUGACCGAGCAACGCCGCGUGAGUGAAGAAGGUUUUCGGAUCGUAAAGCUCUGUUGUAAGAGAAGAACGAGUGUGAGAGUGGAAAGUUCACACUGUGACGGUAUCUUACCAGAAAGGGACGGCUAACUACGUGCCAGCAGCCGCGGUAAUACGUAGGUCCCGAGCGUUGUCCGGAUUUAUUGGGCGUAAAGCGAGCGCAGGCGGUUAGAUAAGUCUGAAGUUAAAGGCUGUGGCUUAACCAUAGUAGGCUUUGGAAACUGUUUAACUUGAGUGCAAGAGGGGAGAGUGGAAUUCCAUGUGUAGCGGUGAAAUGCGUAGAUAUAUGGAGGAACACCGGUGGCGAAAGCGGCUCUCUGGCUUGUAACUGACGCUGAGGCUCGAAAGCGUGGGGAGCAAACAGGAUUAGAUACCCUGGUAGUCCACGCCGUAAACGAUGAGUGCUAGGUGUUAGACCCUUUCCGGGGUUUAGUGCCGUAGCUAACGCAUUAAGCACUCCGCCUGGGGAGUACGACCGCAAGGUUGAAACUCAAAGGAUUGACGGGGGCCCGCACAAGCGGUGAGCAUGUGGUUUAAUCGAAGCAACGCGAAGGCCUUACCAGGUCUUGACAUCCCUCUGACCGCUCUAGAGAUAGAGCUUUCCUUCGGGACAGAGGUGACAGGUGGUGCAUGGUUGUCGUCAGCUCGUGUCGUGAGAUGUUGGGUUAAGUCCCGCAACGAGCGCAACCCCUAUUGUUAGUUGCCAUCAUUUAGUUGGGCACUCUAGCGAGACUGCCGGUAAUAAACCGGAGGAAGGUGGGGAUGACGUCAAAUCAUCAUGCCCCUUAUGACCUGGGCUACACACGUGCUACAAUGGCUGGUACAACGAGUCGCAAGCCGGUGACGGCAAGCUAAUCUCUUAAAGCCAGUCUCAGUUCGGAUUGUAGGCUGCAACUCGCCUACAUGAAGUCGGAAUCGCUAGUAAUCGCGGAUCAGCACGCCGCGGUGAAUACGUUCCCGGGCCUUGUACACACCGCCCGUCACACCACGAGAGUUUGUAACACCCGAAGUCGGUGAGGUAACCGUAAGGAGCCAGCCGCCUAAGGUGGGAUAGAUGAUUGGGGUGAAGUCGUAACAAGGUAGCCGUAUCGGAAGGUGCGGCUGGAUCACCU
RNAcentral lists this ribosomal RNA (1530 nucleotides) under Streptococcus pneumoniae EU-NP01. RNAcentral's name for it is "bacterial SSU rRNA". It matches the Rfam family "Bacterial small subunit ribosomal RNA". Lineage: Bacteria; Bacillati; Bacillota; Bacilli; Lactobacillales; Streptococcaceae. The record is from RNAcentral.